UCUCAAACCAGAAGCCAAGAUGGACCUCGGUUCCUCUCUGUCCUUGUUCUGCUUUCCCAGGUGGAGCUGAGGUGCUGUCUGAAGCUGGUUGCCCGAGAUGCCAGGGCUGCUGCCUCGUCACUCUGCCCACUCUGGUGGCUGCGCUGCCAGGAGCAGCACGUCGUGUCACUUCUUGACGCGUGCCGCCUCCAGGGGAGAGACACCUCUGACAGCUGGCCAGGGAACGGCCCUGAUGGCAACUGUCAGAACACCCCAUAGCCUGCACUUUCGAGCAGGAGAGAGAAAAUUUCACUGCUGCAAUAAGACAACAGACAAUACGCUUGAAACUAAACUAACCUUAACAGGCACCGCAUGAAUCUGGUUUUGAAAUCAAUUCCAAGCAAAGCAGAUGAUUUUUGCAGGGCAGACAAUAUGUAAUGAAGACCAUCAAACCUCUCCCUGUGCCACAGCAUCUAGAGUGUGUCUCAUGCUGCCGCAGCAAACCAAAAGGGUAAGAACCCACAUCAAUAUCCACACAGGCAUAUCGGGAGGAUGGUGUCUUGUUUCUGUGUGACUGCCUGUGAUUCACUGCUGUCUUUUAUUUAUGGUUCCACAUUUUUUUCUUUGAGAGUUCUUAAUGUAUUCACAGACACACAAACACAAGGAUCAUUGAGUUACAAGCUGGGUUUAUUUACCGUUUGCAGCUAGUUCAGAUGGUAUGGCACUACUGCACAGCAUUUGAAUUUUAAGAUUAUAUACCAACAUUUCUUCUUUUCUGCACCCUGUCCCAGACCCAGGCAUGCACACGGAAUUUUAUUCUAACUUCUGGAAACUGAUUUCUCCAUAGAAUGCUUUAGGAUUAAAAAGGAAUUCUUUUUAAAAAACAGACAUUGAAAAAAUUCCCUAUAGAAGUAAUAGAAAGUACCCUGGGGAGAAAUAGGGUUAUGAAGAGGGAAAGUAUUCGGAGAAAAAAAGACAGAAAAGAACAUUAGAAAGUUCUGACACUAUUCUUUCAAAAAAAAAGUCAUAAUGAUGAUCUGUGCCUUUGAAAUGAAUAAAUGAAUAAAUGUUUUAGCAUUUCAAUCAGUAAAAUGCACAAACCUUGAAGAAAACGUGACACAAAAGCAUUGAGAGAUAAAAUUGAGUAAAAUGUCCUCAGUUAAUUUGAAAAUUUCAAUACACUCUGGAAAUUGCUGGCAAGCAGAAGAAACCUCACAGCCAUGCAAAUUGGAAUUUUCUUUUCCUAUGUGUUCAUGCUGAUGGUGUAAUUGCAUAUCUGAAUGUAUAUACUAGUAUUUAUAAUGGCUUUGAAUGUGUUGAUCUUGGACACUUUUCUUAUGUAACUUAUUAAUGUUAACAUUUUUUCCCAAUGCAACAUGAGCUACCAUAAGGGUCUCAGUCCUAAAGCAGCUUGAUUUCUUCGUAUUUGGUGUUCCAUGAGCAUAAUGAGGAGAGCCCGUUUUUGUCUGUUGCGGAGCUGUCGUUUAAAGUGGCCCCCACCUUCCACGUUUGCCCCAUCUGUCUUCCUUCAAGCCUGUCUUUGUUCUGCAGUGGAAAAUAUGGGCAAAGUAGAGAUUAAAAACAUGGAAACCACGGUAGAUUGAAAAAUAUUUGAAUAAUGCCCUUAAAAGUGGUUUAAUCUGGGAUUCUUGAAAAAAAAUAAAACUCAGAUGUAAAUAGUCUAAGAGUGGGUGGAUCUUGUUUCAAUAUGGGGACUAGUUUUUCUGGAAAGCUGGAUGCUCUUAACAUGAUUCCCAACCUUUGUGUCUUUGGGGAAGUAAGACUUAGUGCCUUUUAGGGAAUCAGGCUUGGGCCCUUGGCCAUUUCUCAUCUUGCAGGUUGCAGAGCUUUUGACACAAAAGUUAGCCAUUGUGAUUUGCAUAUUAGUGUAUUCCUUUGUGAUUUCUGAGCAGAGAAUAUGCCAUCUAUAAUAAGACUUCAUAUUUCUUCAAUUAAAAUACACCAGAAACCAACAUAAAAUUAGUCACAGCAUUCUUUAGUUACCUCUCCCCUAUGUUUCAGCAGUCAAGAAGACAAAGAACUGAAUAUUAAAUAGAAAAAAUUUGGUUCAACAGACCAAUAUUGCAGGAAAUUUGGGAGGUGAAAGAAGUGCCUAUCGGAUUCUUUGAAUUUAGUGCUCAAGAAAGGAAAAUUCACUGACAGUGUGAGUUACGGCCAUUCUUGAUUCAGGAGAGGAGCAGAAGUAUGACACGACAGCCUCUUUGUGUGUUGACUUUCAAGGGAAGGCACAUAGCUCCUGCUCAUGUAGGUUGUUCAUUGCGUCCUAUCUUGAGCAUUUCCUUUAUGGCACCCACUGUGGAGGUGGGAAGCCACCUGACAUGCCAGCUGAAAAUGUCACCUGAGAAUUAGUCAAUUUUCACAGGUUGCCUCUUCAUGUUUCAUAAGCUAAGAUGCCAAUGGACAAAGAGUUUGUAGGUAGAAGUGCACCUGGAUCACAUACACACUUAUAAUCUAGAAUUGCCAACUCCAUAUGUGUUACGAAAUUCAUAGAUCUGUUCUAAGCACACGUUUGUGAUGUAAAUUUUCAAAUUCUUUUUUUCUUAUGUUAAUGGCAUACUCAGAAAUUGGAAAGAGAUUCUGAAUGUAGAGUUCAAGUGCUUUACUUUUAUAUGGUAGGUAUACUUUUCAGUGUCAUCAUUUGCUAUUCGUCAAGUGACUAGAUUACUACUGACUCUUUUUGGGGAGAGGUUAAUGGAGUAAGAGAUACACUUUUUCUGAAAUUUUGGUGUUGUCAUGGGUUGUAGAGAAAAAGAGGGUGCACAUAUGGGUAUGCAAGGUUGCUUUUAAUUCAAAACAAUCUUGGGGAAUCAUUGGCUCCUUGAGAAACAUUAAAGAAAUGGUUCCUGGUACACCCUGGAUAAGAGAAGGGGUAAAUGGGUUUAAUGCUUUCUGCAUGGGCAAAAAGGACUCCCAGAGUCUUGUGUGGACUCUGGGAUGCAGGAUGAGGUGUUGUUGAGCAGUUGAGGAAGUAAAAAUUGUGGCAGACACUCCACGAUGUAAAGAAUCCAAGAUAGUACUGAUAGGUCAGUGUUUAGGAGGCUAGAAAAAGUGGAAAUCAGACAGGCUUAUUCUUCAAUAACAUUGCCAGCCAACUUCAUGACUGAGUCUAGCCUGGAUGACCUCCAAAUAUUCUCUUCUGAGAGUCUAGGAUUAUGAAACAACAAACAAAAAGGGGAUAAAAAAUACCAAAUUAAAAUAAUUAUGGAAAAGUGUUGUGAAAGUUGAAUGUGAUGAGUGUGAGGCGCUGUCUGGCAUUUAACACACAAUCAUAAAUGUGAACUGUUGCUGUUCUUAGAUAACUAUUAUAUGUAAGAUAUGAUAAUGACAUUAUUGUUAAUUAUUACCAUAAUCUUUUACAAAGAAGAAGAAUAGGCUUGGAGGUCCAGGGAGCAUUUCUGACCAAGUGAUAGUCUUUAAAAAUUACAACCAUAAGAAUGAAGAUGUCUUGGUUUUCAUCUAGUUAGAAACACCUACUGGGUUCUGAUUGUUUCCCACUGUGGUGAGAUUUUACUCUUAGGACUCUCAAGUGGAUUGGCAAGGAUAAUGGGCCAAACAAGGCUUGUGAGCCUCAGGGAACCUGAGUCACGCUAUCUAUGGCAAGAUGCCUGAACUAUGGACACUUUCAGGUUGUUUGGAAGCUCCAGUGUGAGAAUGAAGUCAGAACCCCUUCCCACGCUAUUUAGAAACUCUUUUCUCCUCCCAGCUGUGCCUAAAUUUAUAUCCUUUUGAAUAUCAAACAAACACAUCAGUUGGCUGUAUCUUCCUGUUCUAGGUUUUCUUUUCUUGGUCACACAGGGGUAAAGAAAAACCUAUGGGUGAGCCCCACAGCAAAACCCAGUGUCUAAACUGAGUAGGAAACAUCCUGUCAAAAAGAAAGACAACGUUCCUAAAUGCGACAAGUAAUGCUUCUCUAGAGCUGCGAAGAAAAGGCCCCCAGUACUUAUGUUUUGCUAUAUCCAUCAGCCAAAACUUGUUAGAAUUCCACGACAUGAAGUUACCGAGGAAUCUGAGAUGCCGAGAAUAGGGUUGGCACUGGGGCUGGACAGUAGGAGGGAUAUAUGUCAUAGGUGGAUACAAAUAACUAAGAGACAUCAUUCCUGCCCUCAAUAAAUUUCAAUCUAGAUGCCCUGUGUAUUUGCAAUGGUCCUUUAAAAUCCCCCAAAUAUAUUUUUAUCCUACUCAGUCCUACAACUUUAGGUGCUAAAUUGAUAGUUGCUUUUGGACUUGAAAUUUAAAGUUCCUAUGCUCAAAUCUCAACUCACCUUGUGUUGUAGUUACUUCCCUAAAAUGAAGUCGCCCAUCUCUUCAUCACCAAACUGGAAAUCUCAACUUUUUGAUUCCUCUUUCUUUCGCUCCCUGAGGUCAGACAGCUGCUGAGUCAGGUGGAUUAUUUGCCGGCAGGGUCUGUCUCAUAUCGCUACGUCUUUCCUACUUCCAACUCCAUUAUCCUAAUUCUUGUACUCAUUACUUUUAUUCCAAACUGCUCUCUGCACCUUUCCCUCCUAUUUGUUCCAGUCCUACCUACCUCCAACAGCUAGAUCAACAUUUCUAACGAAUUGAUCUAAGUAUGAUCAGAAAGGGAAAGUCACCUUGCUAAAACUAAGCAG
RNAcentral lists this long non-coding RNA (4607 nucleotides) under Cercocebus atys (sooty mangabey). RNAcentral's name for it is "lncRNA (ENSCATG00000045404.1)". Lineage: Eukaryota; Metazoa; Chordata; Mammalia; Primates; Cercopithecidae. The record is from RNAcentral.